UACGAAGGGUGCAAGCGUUGCUCGGAAUUAUUGGGCGUAAAGGGUAGGUAGGUGGUAAUAAAAGUCUGGGGCGAAAUCCCUGAGCUCAACUCAGGACGUGCCUUGGAAACUUUAUUACUAGAGUGCUGGAGAGGUCCGCAGAAUUCCCGGUGUAGCGGUGAAAUGCGUAGAGAUCGGGAGGAAUACCAGAGGCGAAGGCGGCGGACUGGACAGUCACUGACACUCAACUACGAAAGCGUGGGUAGCAAACAGG
This 253-nucleotide ribosomal RNA is filed under the name uncultured bacterium. RNAcentral describes it as "partial 16S ribosomal RNA". It matches the Rfam family "Bacterial small subunit ribosomal RNA", at positions 524 to 776 of the family's 1533-position model. The record is from RNAcentral.